UACGUAGGGGGCAAGCGUUGUCCGGAUUUAUUGGGCGUAAAGAGCGUGUAGGUGGCUCGGUAAGUCCGCUGUGAAAGUCCAGGGCUCAACCCUGGAAAGCCGGGUGGAAACUGUCGAGCUCGAGUCCGGAAGAGGCGAGUGGAAUUCCUGGUGUAGCGGUGAAAUGCGCAGAUAUCAGGAGGAACACCAUGGCGAAGGCAGCUCGCUGGGACGGUACUGACACUGAGACGCGAAAGCGUGGGGAGCGAACAGGG
This 254-nucleotide ribosomal RNA is filed under the name uncultured bacterium. RNAcentral's name for it is "partial 16S ribosomal RNA". It matches the Rfam family "Bacterial small subunit ribosomal RNA", at positions 524 to 777 of the family's 1533-position model. The record is from RNAcentral.